Molecule: small nuclear RNA, 103 nt
Organism: Acomys russatus (golden spiny mouse)
Lineage: Eukaryota; Metazoa; Chordata; Mammalia; Rodentia; Muridae
Source: RefSeq, a predicted model, not a curated record
GUGCUUACUUUGGCAGCACAUGCACUAAAACUGGUACAGUAUAAAGAUCAGCAUGGCCUUAAGCAAGGACGACACACACACUUGUGAGGGGUCACAGAUUUUU